Molecule: ribosomal RNA, 460 nt
Filed under: uncultured bacterium
Lineage: Bacteria
Description: partial 16S ribosomal RNA
Rfam family: Bacterial small subunit ribosomal RNA
Source: RNAcentral
CCUACGGGGUGCAGCAGUGAGGAAUAUUGGUCAAUGGACGCAAGACUGAACCAGCCAAGCCGCGUGCAGGAAGACGGUUCUGUGUGUUGUAAACUUCUUUUGUACGGGAAUAAAGGCGGGUACGUGUAUCUGGCUGAGUGUAUCUUACGAAAAAGCAUCGGCUAACUCCGUGCCAGCAGCCGCGGUAAUACGGAGGAUUCGAGCGUUAUCCGGAUUUAUUGGGUUUAAAGGGUGCGUAGGCGGUCUGUUAAGUUAGAGGUGAAAUCCCGGGGCUCAACUCCGGAAUUGCCGUUGAUACUGGCAGGCUAGAGUGUGGUAGAGGUAUGCGGAAUGUGUGGUGUAGCGGUGAAAUGCUUAGAGAUCACGCAGAACACCGAUUGCGAAGGCAGCAGACCAGGUCACCACUGACGCUGAGGCACGAAAGCGUGGGGAGCAAACAGGAUUAGAUACCCUAGUAGUC